UAGGAAACUGUGAAAAAGAUGUUCAUAACCUGCAUUUAUCACAAGAGAAUCACAUCAAGAUGAUCAAUGAUCUAGAAAAUCACAGGAUCACAAAAGAACAACAAGUUAAUCAACUUAAUAGUUCUCUUCAGAAAGGAGAAACUGAGACAUCGAAACUUAGUACUGAACUUUCGGAAUAUAAAGAAACUUUAGAUAGAUGCACAGAGGACAUUGAAGCAUGCAAGAGAGAAAUAGAAAAGAAAGAAGAAACCCUAAAGGAGAUUAAAGAAAAGAUGAUGGACAAACAAAACCUGGUUGAUAUCCUGACAAAUCAAUUUGGCAGUCUUGAAUGCACAUAUGAUAAAAAGUUUAAGGAAAUUGAUGACAAGUUGGUAGAGC
This 378-nucleotide long non-coding RNA is filed under the name Mytilus galloprovincialis (Mediterranean mussel). The record is from RNAcentral. Lineage: Eukaryota; Metazoa; Mollusca; Bivalvia; Mytilida; Mytilidae.